RNAcentral lists this ribosomal RNA (253 nucleotides) under uncultured bacterium. Its description in RNAcentral is "partial 16S ribosomal RNA". It matches the Rfam family "Bacterial small subunit ribosomal RNA", at positions 524 to 776 of the family's 1533-position model. The record is from RNAcentral.
UACGAAGGGGGCUAGCGUUGCUCGGAAUCACUGGGCGUAAAGCGCACGUAGGCGGAUCUUUAAGUCAGGGGUGAAAUCCUGGAGCUCAACUCCAGAACUGCCUUUGAUACUGGGGAUCUCGAGUCCGGGAGAGGUGAGUGGAACUGCGAGUGUAGAGGUGAAAUUCGUAGAUAUUCGCAAGAACACCAGUGGCGAAGGCGGCUCACUGGCCCGGUUCUGACGCUGAGGUGCGAAAGCGUGGGGAGCAAACAGG